This 178-nucleotide ribosomal RNA is filed under the name uncultured bacterium. Its description in RNAcentral is "partial 16S ribosomal RNA". It matches the Rfam family "Bacterial small subunit ribosomal RNA", at positions 1315 to 1500 of the family's 1533-position model. The record is from RNAcentral.
ACUCCAUGAAGCUGGAUUCGCUAGUAAUCGCGCAUCAGCCACGGCGCGGUGAAUACGUUCCCGGGCCUUGUACACACCGCCCGUCAAGCCAUGGAAGCCGGGAGUGCCUGAAGUACGCGACCGCAAGGAGCGUCCUAAGGUAAAACCGGUGACUGGGGCUAAGUCGUAACAAGGUAGC